This 4798-nucleotide long non-coding RNA is filed under the name Sorghum bicolor (sorghum). RNAcentral describes it as "long non-coding RNA (SBIC_LNC012210)". The record is from RNAcentral. Lineage: Eukaryota; Viridiplantae; Streptophyta; Magnoliopsida; Poales; Poaceae.
AUUGUGAAUUAAAGAACCUGGAGAACGAUGAAGAACAAACCAGUUGCUGCCAAAGUAUAAUGUUGAGGAGGAUCCGACAGACCCGGCUCCUCCUCCGCUCUCCUCUUCUCUCUCCCUAUUUUCUAGAUUACAACUAGAACUAACUAGAACUAGAACUAGAGGAACUAGAACUAGAACUAGAUGAACUAGAACUAGAACUAGAUGAACUAGAGGUAGAACUAGAAGAACUAGAGGGAUCCUCUCUACUUGGAUGAAGAAUUGAAACCCUAGCUUUGAUUCUGUAGAAGAGGUAUGCUCUCCAGGGGCCAGGGGGCCUUGCUUAUAUAGUCUUUUCAGAUGAAUCUGGGCCGUCGGAUCAAACCGACAUUAAUCGCACGGUUUUCCUUGGUCCCUUAGGUCGGUAGAGCACGAUCCGUGAAGUUGAAGCUGAUUGGUUACUGUAGCUGGGCGGGCACCCAAGGGACUUGGGCGGGCGCCCUACCCCCGGGCCCGAUCGGCCUCCCGUUCGUUCCUGUGGCUUCUGGAGUCUUCUAGAUGGUAGAAAAUUGUGCGGCACGUUAAUAUCUCUAUGUAAACCCGACGUGUGGGCCUUUCUUUCAUAUUUCCUGAUAACCCCCUGCAGAAAUAGACAAACACCAAAACUCGUGGAAUUAUGUCAGAUAAAACCCUAAGUCUGGGUGUUGGUUGCAUUUGGAUCCUUUUCCAUGAUUAGUUGAUGGUUAAAUGUGAGCAUUAAGGACCGUCAACAAGCUCCCCCAAGCUUAACCUUUGCUCGUCUCAAGAGUUUCUGCAGUGGUUUUAUGCCUUAAAAAUACACAUUCGUUCAAACAAGAUCUCAUCUCUGGGUUAGGGUAAACUGUUAAAAUUUAAACUUACUCAUAUUACCUUCCACCAUCGGGCUUGCAACCGUCACUUGUGUCUUGAGCAGUUAAAAGAUAGAACGGUCUAGUCAAGCGCCAUGUCUCUUAUUCUUGAUCAACUAUAGCUCUAGAGUUUUUGCAGAUUUUCAAAUAAAACUCAGUGAUUCCUUAUAUGACUCUUUCUAGUCUCUCUUUUGUGGUAUUUCUGGGUCCUUACCAAGGCAGUAAUGGUGUAUGCCUUCUCUCAAAGUAUGUGGUAUUUUUGGUUUGAGGCAUAGUGGCAUUACCUUCUCUCUCACCCUACUCUAAUAAGGUUUUGAUAUCUGGAGCUCAUAGGUGGGAGACAGCUAAUACAUACUUACAAGACAUUUAUUGCAUAGUCAAACCAUGGAUCCAGAAGAACAAGUCAAUAAGUCAAAUCAAGAUGUGCAUGUGUGGCGAAUGAAUGAUGUAUGGUGAUGAUGGUAAUAACAAUGGUGAAAGUCUAAUUCUACUUGUGCUCUUUUGAGGGGGUACAUACCUUUCUUUCUCUUUUAAAACUUUUUGAGGAGAAUGCGAUGCUCUAUAUUUUCUUUUUCUUUUCUCUCAGGUGGGUAACUUGUACCCCUAAUUCUACUAUCGGACACUUGUCCAUUUUUACCUCUCGUCUUACUUUUUUUUUCUUUUGAGGUUCCGGGCACUUGCCCCUUUUUAUUUCCUCGUAUUUUUUUCUUCUUCUUCUUCUUUUUUUUAUUAGAGCACUCAUCUCAUGAGAUAAUAUAGCAAGUGGUAGUAACAAGAUAGCUUGAGCAUUUAUUUCACAGGGAAAAACAGAAAUAUUUUUGGCUAUUCUCUCCCGGAUUAGGAGUAGAAUAUUUUUGGGUGGUUCUGGAGAUGGAAAUGGAUAUAUAUGGAUGGUACUUCCGGAGUACAAGUAGCAUGUGUGAGUGAAUGUGCAAGUGAAUCUUGACUUAACCACAUGACAAGCUCCUAAGGGUCUACACAGCUUGACCACACUCAAUGCUCAUAAGCAGUAAAAAGUAAACGUGUGGCUCAAAGUCUAGCAAGCAUGUAUAUAUGGUUGUGUUAGGAAUUUAAACUCUCAUCAUAUAGGAACUCAUCAUGCAAUAUUUUAAAGAUUUUCAAAGAUAAAAUUCUCCAGAAUUCUAGCAUCUCUAGGAACAGAUAAACAGCAGCUCAACUUCCCAUAUCAUAUCAGUUAACGACUUAGACUUUAGAUCAAGUAUUCUCCCCACAAGUUCAGGUUUAGAGCAAAUUAAUAACAGCCAGGCCUAAACUUGAGAGAGAGAUUUCAAUUUUGAGAACUAGUCAUGGCAGAGCAACUAUUCAUCAUUUCCAUGUGAGAGCUUAUCAUGAGGGUUCAUAGCAAACUUUAUUUAUUUAUUUAUUUAACAAACUAAGCAAAGAUAUAUAUAAGCACAAAAUCUUUAUUUGGGUUUUUUAUGAUUAUGCAUCUUUUUAUUAUUAAAGUAACGUAUAAACGUGAGUAGAAUACUUAGCUGGAUAAAUGGGGGUGCUCUCCCCCAAGCUGGAUUUUGAUGUAAUUCCUUCUGAUAUAGCUAGGAGGUGGCAGAGGUGUAUUUGAAUGUCGGCAGCACCCUGACAGCGAUUAGGAUGUCCUCCGUCUGCUAGUCUUCUUUGAUCCUUGAAUUAUGUGGAGCUCAAAUAGACAACAAAGCUCUUGGCAAGGGGUUCGGUGUUUUUAAGUCCUCCGAACGGGACUCUCUGCUUUCUCAGUCGUCCUGGGAUUCGCUGGAUGGCGUAGUCGGUGGUUCCGGCGGCGCCUGCUCUUCAUGUAUAACUAUCUUCUCUCUACACACCUGACUCAGUGCUACAGUCUCCUCAGGAUAGUUCUGUUCAAGUUGUAUAUGAGCAUAUGAGCAUGUGAGCAUGGAGUAAAUGAAGUGGCUAUGAAAUAAAUUCCAUGCUCAUUAAUGCUUAGAGUGAAAUCCAUGUGGUGUGGUAAAAAUGGUAAGGUGAAUGUGGUAAAAAAAGGAAAAGAAAAAGGAUACACGGACGACUUGGUUCGAAACUAGCACAACUACCGUUCCCCGGCAACGGCGCCAGAAAGCUUGUUGGGUAUUUUAAACACAAACAGAAAAAUCCGCAAGCGCACGGAUACCGAUGUAGCCUUCACCCGGGAGUAUUCCAGAGUAUCGAUUUUCCACAGAGAACGUGAGUGUACUAAUUAAGAUCCAAAAUCGCCCAAGGAUAACUAUAUAAUUAUUUUUGGUGGGAAGAGAGGAAGUUUCCUGAGAGUUCUCUAGUUGAUCUAAGAAUCAAGAAUUACUUCAAGAUUAUCUAUAUCGGGACAUCAGAGCACUAACCACAGAAAGAGAUGAGAAGGGGGCUAGGAAGGUCUGACUACGGUCCUACAAACACCGAUCAGAACGUGGUGGAAUACGUCGACCGUUAGGGCUGUCACUACCCUAAGGCUACCACAACAAUCCGCAGGAUUGGGUGCAAUUCCAGGUAAUUGCAAGACUAAACACCACGUCUAAUCUAUUAAUUACUACUCUAGCGUUAUAAAGACUAGAGCACUUGAUGCAAGCGGGAAUCCAAUAAAUAACUUGAAUGUAAAUAAAAGUAAUUAAAGAACUCAAGAAUUGUGAAUUGAAGAACCUGGAGAACGAUGAAGAACAAACCAGUUGCUGCAAAAGUAUAAUGUUGAGGAAGAUCCGACAGACCCGGCUCCUCCUCCGCUCUCCUCUUCUCUCUCCCUAUUUUCUAGAUUACAACUAGAACUAACUAGAACUAGAACUAGAGGAACUAGAACUAGAACUAGAUGAACUAGAACUAGAACUAGAACUAGAUGAACUAGAGGUAGAACUAGAAGAACUAGAGGGAUCCUCUCUACUUGGAUGAAGAAUUGAAACCCUAGCUUUGAUUCUGUAGAAGAGGUAUGCUCUCCAGGGGCCAGGGGGCCUUGCUUAUAUAGUCUUUUCAGAUGAAUCUGGGCCGUCGGAUCAAACCGACAUUAAUCGCACGGUUUUCCUUGGUCCCUUAGGUCGGUAGAGCACGAUCCGUGAAGUUGAAGCUGAUUGGUUACUGUAGCUGGGCGGGCACCCAAGGGACUUGGGCGGGCGCCCUGCCCCUGGGCCCGAUCGGCCUCCCGUUCGUUCCUGUGGCUUCUAGAGUCUUCUAGAUGGUAGAAAAUUGCGCGGCACGUUAAUAUCUCUAUGUAAACCCGACGUGUGGGCCUUUCUUUCAUAUUUCCUGAUAACCCCCUGCAGAAAUAGACAAACAACAAAACUCGUGGAAUUAUGUCAGAUAAAACCCUAAGUCUGGGUGUUGGUUGCAUUUGGAUCCUUUUCCAUGAUUAGUUGAUGGUUAAAUGUGAGCAUUAAGGACCGUCAACGAGCUCCCCCAAGCUUAACCUUUUCUCGUCCCUGAGCAAAGAUGGACUCAAGAGUUUCUGCAGUGGUUUUAUGCCUUAAAAAUACACAUUCGUUCAAACAAGAUCUCAUCUCUAGGUUAGGGUAAACUGUUAAAAUUUAAACUUACUCAUAUUACCUUCCACCAUGGGGCUUGCAACCGUCACUUGUGUCUUGAGCAGUUAAAAGAUAGAACGGUCUAGUCAAGCGCCAUGUCUCUUAUUCUUGAUCAACUAUAGCUCUAGAGUUUUUGCAGAUUUUCAAAUAAAACUCAGAGAUUCCUUAUAUGACUCUUUCUAGACUCUCUUUUGUGGUAUUUCUGGAUCCUUACCAAGGCAGUAAUGGUGUAUGCCUUCUCUCAAAGUAUGUGGUAUUUUUGGUUUGAGGCAUAGUGGCAUUACCUUCUCUCUCACCCUACUCUAAUAAGGUUUUGAUAUCUGGAGCUCAUAGGUGGGAGACAGCUAAUACAUACUUACAAGACAUUUAUUGCAUAGUCAAACCAUGGAUCCAGAAGAACAAGUCAAUAAGUCAAAUCAAGAUGUGCAUCUGUGGCGAAUGAAUGGU